This 642-nucleotide long non-coding RNA is filed under the name Rattus norvegicus (Norway rat). RNAcentral describes it as "long non-coding RNA NONRATT002317". The record is from RNAcentral. Lineage: Eukaryota; Metazoa; Chordata; Mammalia; Rodentia; Muridae.
AAAAAGUCCCUCUCCUCCUCCAGGUCCUCAAUGCGCUUCUGCAACCACGAGUUCCUCUCAAGUGCCAUGUGCAGCUGGGUCUUAACACUGUUCAUCAGGGCCAGGGUUGGGGAGGUGGCCUCUGGAGGCUCUAGGAACAGCAGGGAUGGAGGUCAUGCCCCAGGAUGAGGCAGUGCCCCAACUGACUCCAGUCCCUCCAUGCCCUUUUCCAGCUCACCCUCAAAAUUUCUCCGUGAGGGACUCAGACUAUAGAAGAUCUGUGAGUCUAAAUGGGGUGCCUCUUCGAAGGGAAUGGAGAUCUCAAAAGUCUCUUCAUCCUUCACUGCGGAGAGACCAGCAAGGUCACCCCAGAAGUGGCCUGGACCUUAUAGACCACCCCCAACCAUAGCUGUCCCGUGGACAGAGGGAACCAGGAUAUCAGGCCAAGGAUGGGGAAAGAAAAGGUCCCCAAGAGCCUCACUUGUCCGCCUAUGGUUGUUUCUGUCAUUCAUAUCGAGGCUUCUGGCAGACCCAGCAGUUGAGUCCUUGGGGGCACUGGACAGAAACAGGUCACCAAAUGUAGUCAGUCCCGGGAGAGGUGGAGUACCUCCGGAGUAAUAAGGGAUCACCUGUCUGCGGGAGGAAAGACCCAUACUUCUGGAC